Non-coding RNA from Physcomitrium patens, 493 nucleotides. The record is from RefSeq and is a predicted model, not a curated record. Lineage: Eukaryota; Viridiplantae; Streptophyta; Bryopsida; Funariales; Funariaceae.
GAAAGUAUCUUCUCUUGAAGAAACUAUUCGUAGAUUUCCUCUAUAUGGGUAUAGACUAAGAAGUGUUUACAGUAGAGUCACAUGAUCAGUGCGUCAGAAAAUUGAUGGUAAGGGUAUCACACGAGCAUAUAGUGGAUAGAAACUCUGAUAUUGUCAAACCUCGAUCGAAGCGUGGCAACAACAUGACAAUCCCUCUCUAAACGAUCAGCACAACUUACUCCUAAUCAGUGGAGAAAGUUUUGCAUGAUAGUCAUUGGUUGAGACGUGGACAUUUAUGCACGAAUCUGAUCAUUUUUGCAUGCACAGAACGAAAUAUCUCAGCUGAAUUUUCAUGCUCUUUCUUCCUCCUCGUCUUUCGUGCAUCUAUACAGUAAUUGUUUAAUUUUCUUCCUCUGUAACUAUUUCGUCACAGUGAAUUUCGUGUCUAUUGAAUGUUGUAUACUGGCAAGUACCAUGUAUUUUAACUUGAAACAGUCAUACAAAGCUUUGGAGA